CGUCUAUAUACGUAUAGCAUAUCAAUAAGCGGAGGAAAAGGAACUAACUAGGAUUCCCUCAGUAACGGCGAGUGAAGCGGGAAGAGCUCAAAUUUGAAAUCUUCAAGGUUCUACCUUGACGAAUUGUAGUUUAAAGAAGUGUUUUCUGUUGGAGUUUUGGUAAAAGUUCUUUGGAAUAGGACAUCAUAGAGGGUGAGAAUCCCGUAUUUGACCAUUAUUUCCAACUUUGUGAUACACUUUCAAAGAGUCGGAUUGUUUGGGAAUGCAGUCCAAAAUGGGUGGUAAAUUUCAUCUAAAGCUAAAUAUUGGCGAGAGACCGAUAGCGAACAAGUACCGUGAGGGAAAGAUGAAAAGAACUUUGAAAAGAGAGUUAAACAGUACGUGAAAUUGUCAAAAGGGAAGCGUUUGACACCAGUGUUGUUUUCUCGAAAAUCAAUUAAAAAUGGCAGGAUUUUGUGUUGUAUUGACUUUAUCAGCUUUCUGCACUUCUUUCUUGUCUUUUUUAAUGCACUUUUCGUUUAACAAGUCAACAUCAAUUUCUUUUGUUGUAAAAGGGUCAUUGGAAGGUGGCUUUCUUUUCGGAGAAAGUGUUUAUAGCCUUUGGCCUCUGCAAUCGGAGAGAUUGAGGUCUGCAGCGUAGAUCCUUCGGGGUUAGAUAGCAUUUGUGCUAAGCUAUAGCCUUUCAUAGACAACUUGUUGACUAUGAUCAGUCAUGUAGCUUACUCGCUUAUGCUAUUUUACCUACGCUUAGGAUGUUGACGAUCAGCUGAGCGCG
Molecule: ribosomal RNA, 775 nt
Filed under: uncultured Neocallimastigales
Lineage: Eukaryota; Fungi; Neocallimastigomycota; Neocallimastigomycetes; Neocallimastigales
Description: partial large subunit ribosomal RNA
Rfam family: Eukaryotic large subunit ribosomal RNA
Source: RNAcentral